AUGAUGCACAUGACUCUGUAUUGGGGAAAAAACGUGACACUUCUAUUCGAUUCGUGGAAGACCGAUUCAUGGACGAGUUAUCUACUGAGUUUGUUCGCGUGUUUUUUGAUUGCCUCUUUCUACCAGUAUCUGGAGAAUAUUCGGAUUCGGUUGAAGUUUUUCUCCGGUGGGAAGGGGCAAUCUCUGGUGCCGGAGAAUCGGGCUCCUCUUCUGGGGUUGAAUAAGGUUUCUAGAAAUAAGGUUGCGGAAUCGGGUUUGUUUGGUGUGAAUUCGGCGAUUGGGAGUCAGGGGGAAGAAGAUGCUGCUCUAGUUGUUGAUAAUUCUUGUGCUUGUGCUUAG
This is a non-coding RNA of Vicia faba (fava bean), 339 nucleotides long. The record is from the annotation of a GenBank genome assembly. Lineage: Eukaryota; Viridiplantae; Streptophyta; Magnoliopsida; Fabales; Fabaceae.